Molecule: non-coding RNA, 114 nt
Organism: Acanthosepion pharaonis
Lineage: Eukaryota; Metazoa; Mollusca; Cephalopoda; Sepiida; Sepiidae
Source: the annotation of a GenBank genome assembly
UUACGUCCAUAUCAUGUUGAGACACCGGUUCUCGUAAGAUCACCAAAGUUAAACAACGUCGAACCUGGUCAGUACGUAGAUGGAUGACAGCUUAGGAAUACCAGGUGCUGCAAG